AGAGAUGUGAAAACUGGAAGAGAAACAGGAAGUACCUCCAGGAUUCACCUAAAUAGAUGCUGCGGUUUCUAUCAAACCACAGGCCACCCCAGCAUCUCAGUGGCUUCUAUAGGUUGUCCUGAAAGAGCCAUGAGGCCAGGGCCCUUGAUGGAUUCCCAGAUACCAGCUGCUCCUCCAGACACCAAUUCCACCCUCCACCUUUCUGUGUCCGUCCCAGACCAAGGCAGCCCAGGACUGGUAUCCUUCUAAGAAGAGGAAGGCACAUCAGAGGAGAGGCCAUGUGAGGACACCAUGGGAAGGCGGCCACCUGCAAGCCAAGGAGAGGGGCCUCAGGAGAAACCAGCCCUGCUGACACCCUGAGCUCCUUGCAAUUCCAGCCUCCUAGACUGUGAGAAAAUACACUUGUGUUAUUUA
RNAcentral lists this long non-coding RNA (414 nucleotides) under Homo sapiens (human). Its description in RNAcentral is "HSALNT0325199". Lineage: Eukaryota; Metazoa; Chordata; Mammalia; Primates; Hominidae. The record is from RNAcentral.